CUCUCACGUGUUGGCUUGCUGUUUGUAUUGUGUCAAGUGUCAAGAGCGUCAUAGCGGGGGAAACCGGGGAAAGAAAAGAAUGAGAAAACAAUAAUACAUACACACAUACGACGCUACUGCUGUGAUUUUGACAAAACAUGAAGAGGAGGAAUUCUCCACGUUGUCGUUUCUUAUCUCGCCAAGAGAUUGUCCAGGCACACGCUGCUGUGAUUAAAGAGCUGGAAGCUGCAACAAGCUCAAGGCCAGUGCCAAUGGAAAGGAAUGAGAAAACUGAAGUAGUUCAUCGAGUAUGCAAACAACUCAUGGAAGUUAGCCAAUCCAUUAGAUUCUGCAAAAGCAACGUUGAAAAGGGAAGGAAUGCAGCUAAAAAGAAAUUACCAAAAAAGUAGAUGAGGCAUGGGAAUUGGAAGGGAUCAAUCAAAAUAAACAAAAUUAAUAAUAAAUAAAACUAUGCUUGAUACUUAAUCAUUA
This is a long non-coding RNA of Cloeon dipterum, 471 nucleotides long. RefSeq lists it as uncharacterized. The transcript is spliced from 2 exons. NCBI's taxonomy places the organism in Eukaryota, Metazoa, Arthropoda, Insecta, Ephemeroptera, Baetidae. The record is from RefSeq and is a predicted model, not a curated record.